AUAAAUUUCAUAUGUUUGCUUCGUAUAAUGCCGGGGAUAUGGCCCGGAAGUCUCUACCAGGCUGCCGUAAAUAGCUUGACUACGAGGUAAUAUAGAUUGGUU
RNAcentral lists this non-coding RNA (102 nucleotides) under Bacillus sp. (in: firmicutes). RNAcentral describes it as "Bacillus sp. Guanine sequence". It matches the Rfam family "Purine riboswitch aptamer". From Rfam's summary of the family: Riboswitches are metabolite binding domains within certain messenger RNAs that serve as precision sensors for their corresponding targets. Allosteric rearrangement of mRNA structure is mediated by ligand binding, and this results in modulation of gene expression. A class of riboswitches that selectively recognises guanine and becomes saturated at concentrations as low as 5 nM. RNAcentral also lists the same sequence under 1 other name. Lineage: Bacteria; Bacillati; Bacillota; Bacilli; Caryophanales; Bacillaceae. The record is from RNAcentral.